GGAUUAGAUACCCGGGUAGUCCAUGCCGUAAACGAUGUCUACUAGCCGUUGGGGCCUUUGAGGCUUUAGUGGCGCAGCUAACGCGAUAAGUAGACCGCCUGGGGAGUACGGUCGCAAGACUAAAACUCAAAUGAAUUGACGGGGGCCCGCACAAGCGGUGGAGCAUGUGGUUUAAUUCGAUGCAACGCGAAGAACCUUACCUGGCCUUGACAUACUAGAAACUUUCCAGAGAUGGAUUGGUGCCUUCGGGAAUCUAGAUACAGGUGCUGCAUGGCUGUCGUCAGCUCGUGUCGUGAGAUGUUGGGUUAAGUCCCG
This 315-nucleotide ribosomal RNA is filed under the name uncultured bacterium. RNAcentral's name for it is "bacterial SSU rRNA". It matches the Rfam family "Bacterial small subunit ribosomal RNA", at positions 775 to 1089 of the family's 1533-position model. The record is from RNAcentral.